Molecule: ribosomal RNA, 370 nt
Filed under: uncultured Prevotella sp.
Lineage: Bacteria; Pseudomonadati; Bacteroidota; Bacteroidia; Bacteroidales; Prevotellaceae
Description: bacterial SSU rRNA
Rfam family: Bacterial small subunit ribosomal RNA
Source: RNAcentral
AACUGCUUUUAUGUGGGGAUAAAGUGAGCUACGUGUAGUUUAUUGCAGGUACCACAUGAAUAAGGACCGGCUAAUUCCGUGCCAGCAGCCGCGGUAAUACGGAAGGUCCAGGCGUUAUCCGGAUUUAUUGGGUUUAAAGGGAGCGUAGGCCGUGGAUUAAGCGUGUUGUGAAAUGUAGACGCUCAACGUCUGAAUUGCAGCGCGAACUGGUUCACUUGAGUAUGCGCAACGUAGGCGGAAUUCGUCGUGUAGCGGUGAAAUGCUUAGAUAUGACGAAGAACUCCGAUUGCGAAGGCAGCUUACGGGAGCACAACUGACGCUGAAGCUCGAAGGUGCGGGUAUCAAACAGGAUUAGAUACCCUGGUAGUCC